GGGCAGGGGAAGGCGCCUUUCCGCAUUUGGUGUAGUCCCGCAUGCUGCCAUUUGAUGUCGCGGGAGAACGCGCCUACAGGGAUUGGGCGGGGCAAGGAGGCGAGGAAGGAAAAAAAGCGACAAGUGAAGAUUGACAUCCAUUAAGGUCAAUGGUAGCUCAAUCUUCGGUUCUCUGACUCCCAAGCUUCCCAUUCUCUUAGGAGGCUGCAUUUGUGGCGCUAAGAAAAGGGAUGGGCGUGGGAGAUUCCAGGACAUGUGCUCGCUGAAGAUACAACUGUUAGUCCAAGCUCCUGUAUCAGCAGUGCUUGUGCCUGAUAGGUGAUGAUCAUGAGGGGGACCAGGAGCCUCUAGACUUAAGAGACAAGUUGCCAGCAUUCUCCAGAUGGAGUGUUUCCCUCCCCAGCACCACCUGCUGGUCAGUUUGACAAGCAGAUGAAGGGAAGUUCUCAAAUACACAAUAGUAGAUUCUAUCAACCAAGUUUCCUAAAGAGUUCUGAUUCCCAGAGAUAGCAGAUUCUGUCAACCACAUUUCAUAAAGAGUUCUGAUUCUAAGAGCAGGAGACCUGUCUCUGAUGCUGCUGAGCCACUUUGACAAUCGUUAUAUAGAAAUCUGAUUGGAUGCCGUGAAACUGGACAUCAGCAAAAUGUCAGAAUGGGACUUUCUAGCAUUUAUCCUCACACAGAAACAUCAAUUUAAACAACUAUCUAUGCAUGAAAAUACCUUCAGAAGAGCUAAGAAAACCAGGUGAAAGGUUACAGAAACGUUGUGUAGCAGAGAAAUAAGAAAAGAUUAAUUGAAGAGCAUAGGAAGAACAAUUUUUCAUUUCCUGUGUCACCCCUCCCACAACACCAGGCAGCAGGGCACAGAGAGAGGCAAUCUCUGUGUCAAAGAAGAAAAGUGAAGUGAGCACUGAACUUUGCCUUGGACUCCAACGCAGAGCCUGCUUCAGUAAAAUCCAGUAAUGGGUAUGUGACUAUUGCCCGAAACUCCAGGCUAGUACCUGCACACUAAGCCAGACCAGAUCACACAGCCCAGGCUCCAGGCUUGCCUGGUGGACUUGGUUUCUGGGUAUAUCCUCAUGCCAGGUCUACCCCAGUGCCUUGGAUGUCAGGUAGUCUUGGGGACCAGGCCAGCCCCAGUGACUCCAGGCUCCAGACUGCUCCCAGAACAAGGCCGGCCUCGACAACUCCAGGUUUCAAGCCAGCCCCAGGACCAGGCUAGCUCCUGCAACUCUAGUCACCAUGCCAGUGUCCAUAUAUCCAACCCCUAAUCUGGCCCCUGUGGAUACAGGCUCGAGGACUGCCUAGCACAAGGCUAGCCCCUGUGGUCGCAGACUCCAAGUCCACCCUAGGUUCCAGACCGGCCCAGAACUAGAUUGGCUCACACCAAUCCAGGAUUCAGGCCCACCCCAUUUCCAGGUUGGCAGCCCUAGCCAUAGGCCUUAGUCAGGUAUCUGGCAAGCAUCUGCAGACCCAGGCUCCAGGCCUCCCUAGGCCUAAGCCAGUUUCUGCCACCCCACUCUCCAGGCCAGUUCCUAUGGUCCCAUCCUCCAGCAGACCCAGGGUCCAGGCCCAUCACAGUUGACUCCAGUAUUGGGCAGGUGCCUACAGACCCAGUAUCUAGUACUGCCUCUGUGGACCUAGGUUCCAGUCCAGUUCCUACAGCCCUAGGACCCAAGCCACCCUUUGUGGCCCUAGUGUCCAUGCCCACUUCUGAAUGUGUUGGUUCUAGGACAGAUCUCACACAACCAGCCUCCAGGCCAUUCCACAAUUCUUGGCCUACCCCUGUGGCUACAGGCACCAGUCUAGCACCUAUGGUCUCAAACUUUAGACUGGCCCCAUCUCACCACAGCCCUAGGCCAGCAUCAGACUCCAGGCUGGUUUUUGUAACCCAGCAUCCAACAAACUCAGGGCCCACCUGUGCUCUAGCAGACCCAGGGUACAGGCCGACUUCAUUAGACCCUGUUGCUAGGCUGGCCAUCAAGGACCAAGUCUCUAGGACCAUCUCUGAAGACUCAGGCUCCAGGUCUGCCCCCGUCUACCAAGAUCCCAGGCCCAUUUCUCCAGAUUCCAGCUCCAGUCCUGCACCAGUACCAGGCCAGUCCCCAUGGACUCAGAUGCCAGGCUUAUCCCAGCAGACUCAGACACUAUGCUCAUUCCAAAAUCUGGCCAGCCCCUGCAGACACAGGCUCAAUGCACGCCUCAGAGCCAUGUUAGCCCCUGUGGACCCAUGCUCAGUCCAGCACCUACUGUUAACAGGCUCUGUACCUGCCCUUAUAGAAAUUGGCUUUAUGUUCAUCCCCACAUACCCAAUGAAAAGAUCCACCCCAGUUGAUCCAGGCUUCAGGCCCAACUCUACAGACCCAGGAAACAGGCCUACCACCUGCUAACACAGGCACCAGGCCAGCCUGCCUGAGGACUUUGGCAACAAGUUCACCUGCAGACCACACUAGACACCCUACAAAGAAUUGCUGGAUGACUAGGAAAGGGUUUUUCCAGACAAAGCCGGUAUGCAAGAACUAGAAUAAGUUUCUUGUUUUUCAAAUGUGCAGACACUAAUGCACUGCCUAAAAAUCAAGAUCAAGAACAAUCAGAGAAAAAUGAUACCACC
Molecule: non-coding RNA, 2611 nt
Filed under: Pan troglodytes (chimpanzee)
Lineage: Eukaryota; Metazoa; Chordata; Mammalia; Primates; Hominidae
Source: RNAcentral